GGCGAGCCCUUCAGCCUGCCGCUUUCCGGCACUCCCAUAACAUCGGACGCUGCUAGGCCCAGAUCAGUAGACCUAGUUCUUUCAUUCGAUACUACUGCAGAACCAAGCAGGCCUAGUUCAGUGAGGCCAC
Ixodes scapularis (black-legged tick) is the source of this 130-nucleotide long non-coding RNA. RefSeq lists it as uncharacterized. The transcript has 3 exons. The record is from RefSeq and is a predicted model, not a curated record. NCBI's taxonomy places the organism in Eukaryota, Metazoa, Arthropoda, Arachnida, Ixodida, Ixodidae.